CUACGUAGGUGGCAAGCGUUGUCCGGAAUUAUUGGGCGUAAAGCGCAUGUAGGCGGUUUGGUAAGUCGGUCGUGAAAAUGCGGUGCUUAACGCCGUAUGGCGAUUGAAACUGCUGAACUUGAGUGCAGGAGAGGAAAGGGGAACUCCCAGUGUAGCGGUGAAAUGCGGAGAUAUUGGGAAGAACACCGGUGGCGAAGGCGCCUUUCUGGACUGUGUCGGACGCUCAGAUGCGAAAGCCAGGGUAGCGAACGGGAUUAGAUCCCCCGGUAGUCCUGGCCGUAAACGAGGGGUACUAGGUGUGGGAGGUAUCGACUCCUUCCGUGCCGGAGUUAACGCAAUAAGUACCCCGCCUGGGGAGUACGGCCGCAAGGCUUAAACUCAAAUGAAUUGACGGGG
This 396-nucleotide ribosomal RNA is filed under the name uncultured bacterium. RNAcentral describes it as "partial 16S ribosomal RNA". It matches the Rfam family "Bacterial small subunit ribosomal RNA", at positions 523 to 918 of the family's 1533-position model. The record is from RNAcentral.